CGUACGUGUUUUGUAAGCGCUUUACGUGUGCGUGCGUGCGUCCGUGCGUUUUUUCUGAGCGCUGUGUACGUGCGUUCGUGCAUAUUUUUUGAGUGUUUUGUAUGUGUGCGUGCGCGCGCGCGUGUGCUUGUAUGCGGGUCUCUAUGUGCUUGCGCGUGCGUGCGUUCGUGCGUGUUUUGUGAGCGCUUUGUAUGUGCGCGCGUGCCUGUUGUAUAAGUGCUUUGCAUGUGUGCGUGCGCGCGCGCGCGUUGCUGCUUUGCGAGCGUUUUGCUUGUGCGCGCGUGCUUGUAUGUGGGUCUCUAUGUGCUUGCGCGUGCGUUCGUGCGUGCGUGUUUUGUGAGUGCUAUGUAUGUGCGUGCGCGCGCGCGCGCGUACGUGUUUUGUGAGUUUUCUGCGGGGGCGCGCGUGCUUGUGUGUGUGUGUGUAUUGAAUAAAGUCGGUAGCUUUACACGCAAUAAACCUCUUCAAAAUUGGUGCAGCGGCUGUCCCCGCCCUGAAAACCGAAUUUGGUGUCGAGCCACUCUGGAAUAUAUGGAGGCGCCGGAGGACCAGUGGAAGGUGUCAUCCAGAUGACAGCCUCACAAUUCGCAGCCUUUGUGCUCUCCAUCAGAAACCCAUCAGGGGCAAGCCACUUAUCUUUGCCUUCAGACAAGACAACAUUGAAGCAGGAUUCCAGCACAGCCAUCUCCUGCACUUAUGGUCAAGAUGCUCAGACAAUGGAGUCCCUGUUCCUUGUGGUUAACCGUGAACAGUAUUCUCGCUUUUAUGAAAGCUAAAGGUGAUUUCCUGCAUAAAUUAGGAUUUUGCA
Long non-coding RNA from Dermacentor silvarum, 808 nucleotides. RefSeq lists it as uncharacterized. NCBI's taxonomy places the organism in Eukaryota, Metazoa, Arthropoda, Arachnida, Ixodida, Ixodidae. The transcript has 3 exons. The record is from RefSeq and is a predicted model, not a curated record.